GUUUAAUUCGAGCAACGCGAAGAACCUUACCAGAGUUUGACAUAGUCUGAAGCUUCUUGAGAAAGAAGUGUUCCUUUAUGGACAGAUAUACAGGUGGUGCAUGGCUGUCGUCAGCUCGUGUCGUGAGAUGUUGGGUUAAGUCCCGCAACGAGCGCAACCCUCGUUCUAUGUUGCCAGCACGUGAUGGUGGGGACUCAUAGGAGACUGCCGGGGUCAACUCGGAGGAAGGUGGGGAUGACGUCAAAUCAUCAUGCCCCUUAUGUCUUGGGCUUCACGCAUGCUACAAUGGCCGGUACAAAGGGUUGCGAUACUGUGAGGUGGAGCUAAUCCCAAAAAGCCGGUCUCAGUUCGGAUUGAGGUCUGCAACUCGACCUCAUGAAGUCGGAGUCGCUAGUAAUCGCAGAUCAGCAACGCUGCGGUGAAUACGUUCCCGGGCCUUGUACACACCGCCCGUCAAGUCACGAAAGUUGGUAACACCCGAAGCCGGUGGCCUAACCCCUUUGUGGGAGGGAGCCGUCGAAGGUGGGACUGGCGAUUGGGACUAAGUCGUAACAAGGUAGCCGUACCGGAAGGUGCGGCUGGAUCACCUCCUU
This 593-nucleotide ribosomal RNA is filed under the name Prasinococcus capsulatus. RNAcentral describes it as "partial Bacterial small subunit ribosomal RNA". It matches the Rfam family "Bacterial small subunit ribosomal RNA", at positions 944 to 1532 of the family's 1533-position model. Lineage: Eukaryota; Viridiplantae; Prasinodermophyta; Palmophyllophyceae; Prasinococcales; Prasinococcaceae. The record is from RNAcentral.